Molecule: long non-coding RNA, 2924 nt
Organism: Triticum aestivum (bread wheat)
Lineage: Eukaryota; Viridiplantae; Streptophyta; Magnoliopsida; Poales; Poaceae
Exons: 4
Source: RefSeq, a predicted model, not a curated record
UGUACGCAUUUGAAUUCGACCCGCUGUCCUCCCGUCGUCUUAUCCAUUUCUCUUGCGACAGCGACGGCGGCUUCGCCCAUUCUGUCGUGCGCAGGCGACGGCCGCCGCCAUGCCUCGCGCGGGAGGACGGAGGGCGCUCGCCGGGAGGAUGGAAGACGGCGCGGCGAGGCGGGGCAGUGGUGGUGGCGUGUGCGGCGUAGACGGCGCGGCCAGGCCGGGCAGUGGCGGUGGUUGUCUGACCGUCGUGCCUCGCGCGGGAGGAUGGACGACGCUCGCUGGGGCGUGUGCGGCGGAGACGGCUUCUGCCGCGCAUCGAGGUGGAGCAGCAGAGGACGGGAAGGCAAGGAGGCAGGGUGGGUAUGCUGUGCACCAGCGCCGCCUUCGUCCUCCACCUCCUCCAAAAGCGCGCGCUCGCCGCGGGCGCUGGCGGUGGCGCGGCGGUCCUCGCCCUUGCGCACCCGUACUCGCACGACGACCGCGCCCUCCGCAAGAUGGUAAGUGCCCCGGCCGCUCACCCGUAUUUCCUCGUCAGCAGGGCCAUCCUCGCGGACCACACGGCAGCGGUGACGCUCUUCGGGCACCCCCGCGGCCGGCCGAGCCUGGCCAUCUAUGAGGACACGCGGGCGCCACCGGCGUUCCUCAUCGAGCUGCCCAUGCUCGCGGCCGGGCUACACAGGGGGAUGGCCACGGGACCUUGAAGAUGGCGCUGGAGAGCGACACGCGCAGCGCGCGGCGACCACUCCUGUCCAACGACGAGCGGCACGUGCUGCGGUUGCUGCGCGACGUCUCCAUGGGCGCCGGGGUGCGGCGCCGCCGCCUGCUGACGGCUCCAAUUUCCCCGACGGCGUCCUACUCCCGUGUCUGAUUAGGAUUGAAGAGUCUUGAACAUGUCCUUGUCCAACACAGAUCAAUGUAAUGCCUGGCCCGGAUUUGACUUGACUGCUAUAAGAUGGAAGCGUCCUGGGCCUGAAUCUCCAUCAGGUUCCGUCCUUGGACCAUAGUCUCCAUCAAAUUCUGUUGAAAAUUUCACGAAGCGUCAAAUGUCGCCGCCGAGUGGUCCAAUGUCAUCUGCAGCGGCUACAGGAGAGAUUUCGUGUUGAUGAGAGAGGAACAAAAUGUCGGUUGUUCAGUACUUCAUGCAAAGAUACAACUACAAUCUGCAGUACUACUUGGCGCCUGCAGUCUAGAAGUGAUGCACGACCUGCAUAUUUGCCUACGGAGGCACUGUAUCCAUGCUCGCUGUUUACUAAAAAUUAGACAUCGGAUGCUCAUAUUUUAAUUAGACAUCGGAUGUUCAGUGUAUUCUACAAAUUGACUGUAGGCGUGCAACAUUGUUGAAGGGCAAAGGUACUCUAAGCUGAAUGAUAAACAGGUCACCAACAUACUUAGAGCUUCCUUGGGUUUGUGCAAGACAUGUCCGGUUUCACUAAGUCAGUUUCACUUUCACGAAGACAGUGGAAAUGCAGAAAAAAGAAAGCACGUGGAUUUAGAAAUUUCAGCAUUGUAGAGCUCAAUUGAAAUGGAAAACGAGAUUUAUAGCAUCCAGCCAGGGUGGUGAUUCGAUUUUUGAUGAUUGGUACUUUGGUUGUGAGGUCGAUGAAGACAUGAGAUGGAUUUGGGCAGGGCAGUGGGUUUGCUCGCGAGGAGGUGGGAAGGACGAAGAUAGUGGAAGAACCUUGAGAUGAUGGUGCUAUUAUUGACUCAAUCCUUUAUUAGCUCUAUUUGUGUGGAUCUUCCAGGUGCAUGAAUGAUGUUGUCGGUCGGGUGUCCUCUACUACUGAAGUUUUACCACCAUCUGGUGGCGCUUGAGAGCAGGGAUGGCAUACUUUCAUCAGCAGCGGCCAAACCCCCAGCGCCGCUGGUGCUGUACACCCCUGUACCCCUCGACAUCCAGUGCCUCGCGUCUGCCCAGCAUGAACACCUCCUCAAUAUGUACAUCUCUGAAUUUUGCCAUUGCUAGAGAAAGUAGAGCAUUGUUUUGCUGUAGCUAUAAUUUGAGUUUAGAAGAUAUACUUCUCUCUUUUUGACGUCAAUUUUUUCAGUUGUCGUCUACGUCCAGUCUCAUGUCUUUCUCUUUAGCAGGGAUCAAUGAGUACUAAACGAGCAAAAAUGUCCUUCUCUUUUUCAUAUUUCUUCCUUUUCCUUACUACUUUUGUGGCUCCAAAUCUCAUGAUGGCUCUAUGUCUGUUCUUUUUGUUGACAUGGAUUUUACCCUGAAAAUUUUCUUCUGAUCUACAAUGUUCUGCCAUCUAAAUUUGUCUGUAUAUUGUGAAUGAGUAGACAUUUGUGCAAAAGCUCAAUGGGAUGAAAUUACGGACUACAGAGAGGUGUAAUUAUUAAUUAAUUUCUUGCUUUAAAAGAUAUGCAACUAGCAGAGUUUCUUAUUAUUAUCAAUUGGAUUGUGACCGAAGUGAAGAACUUAUGUGGACAGUCUGGCAGAUUUCAGUGGCAAGAUUUUUGUACAAUUACAGUGGCAGAUUUCAGAAAUUUGUUGAGCACACGAUUUACAAGAACAAGAUAUUCUGUCAAGCCAUGGAUAUCAACAAUCAGCCAAGCAAAGAAAUAUUCAUGGGAGAUAUACAGGGAUCCACAAGAAUGUGCACCGUAUGGCACUACCCUUUUGUCAUCGAGCCACUAUCACAUUUUGGUCAGCAAUCAAUUCAAUCAAUUCUCAGUGCAAUUAGUCAGAAGUUGGAAUUUACAUCUAAACGAACAGUACAUACAUCAAGCAACAGAAGAAAGAGUGGUCAUCUCUUUUUCUUGGCACCAAGAUGCCAUAUAAGCAUUCAGACUUCGGAAUCGCACAAGCAGUUUGUAUAUAAAUGAUGUGCCAUAUCGUUUUAACAUGGACACUUCAAAAGAACAUCUGCCAAGAGUGGUCGCUGAUCACUAUGAUUAUAGUAGUCCUAAAGAGUUUGCCUCUG